CAGCUCUAUGCGGUGGAUCACUCGGCUCGUGCGUCGAUGAAGAGCGCAGCCAGC
RNAcentral lists this ribosomal RNA (54 nucleotides) under Cyclina sinensis. RNAcentral's name for it is "partial 5.8S ribosomal RNA". It matches the Rfam family "5.8S ribosomal RNA", at positions 1 to 53 of the family's 154-position model. Rfam says of the family: 5.8S ribosomal RNA (5.8S rRNA) is a component of the large subunit of the eukaryotic ribosome. Lineage: Eukaryota; Metazoa; Mollusca; Bivalvia; Venerida; Veneridae. The record is from RNAcentral.